AGCACCUCCUCGCCAGCAGCCGUCCGGAGCCAGCCAACGAGAAAAUGGCAGACAAUUUUUCGCUCCAUGAUGCGUUAUCUGGGUCUGGAAACCCAAACCCUCAAGGAUGGCCUGGCGCAUGGGGGAACCAGCCUGCUGGGGCAGGGGGCUACCCAGGGGCUUCCUAUCCUGGGGCCUACCCCGGGCAGGCACCCCCAGGGGCUUAUCCUGGACAGGCACCUCCAGGCGCCUACCCUGGAGCACCUGGAGCUUAUCCCGGAGCACCUGCACCUGGAGUCUACCCAGGGCCACCCAGCGGCCCUGGGGCCUACCCAUCUUCUGGACAGCCAAGUGCCACCGGAGCCUACCCUGCCACUGGCCCCUAUGGCGCCCCUGCUGGGCCACUGAUUGUGCCUUAUAACCUGCCUUUGCCUGGGGGAGUGGUGCCUCGCAUGCUGAUAACAAUUCUGGGCACGGUGAAGCCCAAUGCAAACAGAAUUGCUUUAGAUUUCCAAAGAGGGAAUGAUGUUGCCUUCCACUUUAACCCACGCUUCAAUGAGAACAACAGGAGAGUCAUUGUUUGCAAUACAAAGCUGGAUAAUAACUGGGGAAGGGAAGAAAGACAGUCGGUUUUCCCAUUUGAAAGUGGGAAACCAUUCAAAAUACAAGUACUGGUUGAACCUGACCACUUCAAGGUUGCAGUGAAUGAUGCUCACUUGUUGCAGUACAAUCAUCGGGUUAAAAAACUCAAUGAAAUCAGCAAACUGGGAAUUUCUGGUGACAUAGACCUCACCAGUGCUUCAUAUACCAUGAUAUAAUCUGAAAGGG
Molecule: long non-coding RNA, 807 nt
Filed under: Homo sapiens (human)
Lineage: Eukaryota; Metazoa; Chordata; Mammalia; Primates; Hominidae
Description: long non-coding RNA NONHSAT168461.1
Source: RNAcentral